RNAcentral lists this ribosomal RNA (301 nucleotides) under uncultured bacterium. RNAcentral's name for it is "partial 16S ribosomal RNA". It matches the Rfam family "Bacterial small subunit ribosomal RNA", at positions 509 to 807 of the family's 1533-position model. The record is from RNAcentral.
CAGCAGCCGCGGUAAUACGAAGGGUGCAAGCGUUAAUCGGAAUUACUGGGCGUAAAGGGUGCGUAGGCGGUUGUUUAAGUCUGUUGUGAAAUCCCCGGGCUCAACCUGGGAAUGGCAAUGGAAACUGGACGGCUAGAGUGUGUCAGAGGAUGGUGGAAUUCCCGGUGUAGCGGUGAAAUGCGUAGAGAUCGGAAGGAACAUCUGUGGCGAAGGCGACUAUCUGGGCCAACACUGACACUGAGGCACGAAAGCGUGGGGAGCAAACAGGAUUAGAUACCCCUGUAGUCCCUGUCUCUUAUAC